AAUCCAUAGGUUAAUGAGGCGAACCGGGGGAACUGAAACAUCUAAGUACCCCGAGGAAAAGAAAUCAACCGAGAUUCCCCCAGUAGCGGCGAGCGAACGGGGAGGAGCCCAGAGCCUGAAUCAGCAUGUGUGUUAGUGGAAGCGUCUGGAAAGGCGCGCGAUACAGGGUGACAGCCCCGUACACAAAAGCGCAUGUGCUGUGAGCUCGAUGAGUAGGGCGGGACACGUGGUAUCCUGUCUGAAUAUGGGGGGACCAUCCUCCAAGGCUAAAUACUCCUGACUGACCGAUAGUGAACCAGUACCGUGAGGGAAAGGCGAAAAGAACCCCGGCGAGGGGAGUGAAAAAGAACCUGAAACCGUGUACGUACAAGCAGUGGGAGCACCCUUUGGGUGUGACUGCGUACCUUUUGUAUAAUGGGUCAGCGACUUAUAUUCUGUAGCAAGGUUAA
This 449-nucleotide ribosomal RNA is filed under the name Salmonella enterica. RNAcentral describes it as "partial 23S ribosomal RNA". It matches the Rfam family "Bacterial large subunit ribosomal RNA", at positions 161 to 649 of the family's 2925-position model. The record is from RNAcentral. RNAcentral also lists the same sequence under 1 other name. Lineage: Bacteria; Pseudomonadati; Pseudomonadota; Gammaproteobacteria; Enterobacterales; Enterobacteriaceae.